AAAGAGGUUAAAAUUACCAAAAUAUCUCUGACUUUCAACACUAAUAACUUCUUCGUUAUAAUUCUGUUUCACGAAUGGUUUGCACCUAUGCAUUCAUGAGAUCGAGCUCUAUUCAAACAUAUAAAUUGUCACCUCGAAAGGUUUACGAAUUUUAGAUCAUUAAUUUCCAAAGAAGGUUAAAAUUACCAAAAUAUCCCUAACUUUCAACGUUAAUAACUUAUUCGUUCUAACUCCGUUUCACAAACGGUUAGCGCUUACGCGUUCGUGAGAUUGAGCUCUAUUCAAACAUAUAAAUUGUGACCUCAAAAGGUCUACAAAUUUUAGAUCAUUAAUUUCCAAACUUCAAAUUUCUUAACGAGUUUAACUUAAAACUCAAUUCAAAUAAAUUAAUAUAAAUUCUCAAAAAAUAAUAUAAAAUCUCAAUAAUAAAAAUACAUAAAUUAUAAUAAUUUCCAGUAACAAAAUUUUAAAAUUCCUCAAUUAAAUUUCCAUAACCAUAAAUCGAUAUAUUUUCGAUUUUCCUCCACAUAUUCAUAUAUUUAAAUUUUCAAGGUAUUACAUUGUAACUCAUAGGGGUUGAGGUAGGGGUAGGUAAUCACUACCUAGAGCUAUAGGAUACAGUCCUGCUUGGUAUAUCCGUGAUGGGUGAUCACUGCCUACGUUAUUAGACUAUGCAUAUGGUUCUGCUUUGUUUAUCCGCAAUGAAGGACCAUGCGCAUUCUAGGAGUGAUCAUGCUUGGUAUAUCCACAAUGGGUGAUCACUACCUAGAGUUUGGAUGUGGUCCUACUUGGUAUAUCCGCGAUGGGUGAUCACUGUCUGCACGCUUAGAUUAUGCCUAUGGUUCUGCUUGGUAUAUCCAUAAUAGGGGACCAUACGUGUGAAAUCCCGUCCCAAAUUUCACUAUUUAAAAUUACAUACUUUGUAUUUCAUAUUCGUAUUUGUAGUUUUGACGUUUUUAUAUUUACGGUGUUUAGUUAUUUUUAUGAGUAAAAGGACGAAAUUGCCCCUAUUGUAUUAAACGAGAUUCUUCACGGACUUAUUUGAUCCUUUCAUUAUUUUCCAAUUUCUUUACAUAUUCGGAUAGGACAUCUCGCUACGAAUGCGUCAGCACAAACAGAAUGUAAUUUGGAGUUAUAACGAAAAAGAUAUAAAUGAACAAAGAUAUGGACAAAAUGGUCAUUUAAUUAUUAAUCUGGAAGGCUCUAGAUUUGCUGGAGCUUUGAUCUGGAGUUACGUGUGUGGCUGUGAUGGAAAGAAAAAAGAGAAAUGAGAGACAGAAGAUGUGGGAUUGCCCA
Molecule: long non-coding RNA, 1296 nt
Filed under: Malus domestica (apple)
Lineage: Eukaryota; Viridiplantae; Streptophyta; Magnoliopsida; Rosales; Rosaceae
Description: long non-coding RNA (MDOM_LNC016404)
Source: RNAcentral